GCCACGAUAGCCGAGCGGUUAAAGGCAGAGACCUGCGAAGCUUAAUAUGCAUUGUAGUACUAGGUUCGAUUCCUGGUCUAGGCC
This 84-nucleotide transfer RNA is filed under the name Rhodnius prolixus. It matches the Rfam family "tRNA". From Rfam's summary of the family: Transfer RNA (tRNA) molecules are approximately 80 nucleotides in length. Their secondary structure includes four short double-helical elements and three loops (D, anti-codon, and T loops). Lineage: Eukaryota; Metazoa; Arthropoda; Insecta; Hemiptera; Reduviidae. The record is from Rfam by way of RNAcentral.